UGGGGAAUAUUGGGACAAAUGGGAGGCAACUCUGAUCCAGCCAUGCCGCGUGAAGGACUAAGGCCCUAUGGGCUGUAAACUUCUUUAGACGCAGAGCAAUAAGGGCCACGCGUGGUCCGAUGAGAGUAUGCGUAGAAUAAGCAUCGGCUAACUCCGUGCCAGCAGCCGCGGUAAUACGGGGGGAUGCGAGCGUUAUCCGGAUUCAUUGGGUUUAAAGGGUGCGUAGGCGGCUUUGCAAGUCAGCGGUGAAAGGCCCGGGCUCAACCCGGAAAGUGCCGUUGAUACUGUGAGGCUGGAAUGCGGAUGCUGUGGGAGGAAUGAGUGGUGUAGCGGUGAAAUGCAUAGAUAUCACUCAGAACA
RNAcentral lists this ribosomal RNA (360 nucleotides) under uncultured bacterium. RNAcentral describes it as "bacterial SSU rRNA". It matches the Rfam family "Bacterial small subunit ribosomal RNA", at positions 355 to 708 of the family's 1533-position model. The record is from RNAcentral.